Molecule: ribosomal RNA, 700 nt
Filed under: uncultured bacterium
Lineage: Bacteria
Description: bacterial SSU rRNA
Rfam family: Bacterial small subunit ribosomal RNA
Source: RNAcentral
AGUGGCGAACGGGUGAGUAAUGCAUCGGAACGUAUCCCGUAGUGGGGGACAACGCCGCGAAAGCGGCGCUAAUACCGCAUAUGCUCUACGGAGGAAAGUGGGGGACCGCAAGGCCUCACGCUAUGGGAGCGGCCGAUGUCCGAUUAGCUAGUUGGUGGGGUAAUGGCCCACCAAGGCGACGAUCGGUAGCUGGUCUGAGAGGAUGAUCAGCCACACUGGGACUGAGACACGGCCCAGACUCCUACGGGAGGCAGCAGUGGGGAAUUUUGGACAAUGGGGGCAACCCUGAUCCAGCCAUGCCGCGUGCGGGAAGAAGGCCUUCGGGUUGUAAACCGCUUUUAGUCGGGAAGAAAAGGCACGUCCUAAUACGACGUGUUCUUGACGGUACCGGCGGAAUAAGCACCGGCUAACUACGUGCCAGCAGCCGCGGUAAUACGUAGGGUGCGAGCGUUAAUCGGAAUUACUGGGCGUAAAGCGUGCGCAGGCGGUUCGUUAAGUCUGAUGUGAAAGCCCCGGGCUCAACCUGGGAAUGGCAUUGGAAACUGGCGAGCUGGAGUGCGGCUGAGGGGGGUGGAAUUCCGCGUGUAGCAGUGAAAUGCGUAGAGAUGCGGAGGAACACCGAUGGCGAAGGCAGCCCCCUGGGCCGACACUGACGCUCAGGCACGAAAGCGUGGGGAGCAAGCAGGAUUAGAUACCCUGG